RNAcentral lists this ribosomal RNA (210 nucleotides) under uncultured bacterium. Its description in RNAcentral is "partial 16S ribosomal RNA". It matches the Rfam family "Bacterial small subunit ribosomal RNA", at positions 524 to 733 of the family's 1533-position model. The record is from RNAcentral.
UACGUAGGGUGCGAGCGUUAAUCGGAAUUACUGGGCGUAAAGCGUGCGCAGGCGGCUUUGCAAGACAGAUGUGAAAUCCCCGGGCUCAACCUGGGAACUGCAUUUGUGACUGCAAGGCUAGAGUACGGCAGAGGGGGAUGGAAUUCCGCGUGUAGCAGUGAAAUGCGUAGAUAUGCGGAGGAACACCGAUGGCGAAGGCAAUCCCCUGGG